RNAcentral lists this ribosomal RNA (438 nucleotides) under uncultured archaeon. RNAcentral describes it as "bacterial SSU rRNA". It matches the Rfam family "Bacterial small subunit ribosomal RNA", at positions 947 to 1384 of the family's 1533-position model. The record is from RNAcentral.
CAAUUCGACGCAACGCGAAGAACCUUACCUGGGCCCGAAAUGCAGGAGACCGGGGUAGAAAUAUCCUUUUCUCGCAAGAGACUGCUGUAUAGGUGCUGCAUGGCUGUCGUCAGCUCGUGUCGUGAGAUGUUGGGUUAAGUCCCGCAACGAGCGCAACCCUCAUCCCUAGUUGCCACCGGGUAAUGCCGAGCACUCUAGUGAAACCGCCCCGGAUAACGGGGAGGAAGGUGGGGAUGGCGUCAAGUCCUCAUGGCCUUUAUGUCAGGGCUACACACGUGCUACAAUGGUCGGUACAAACCGUCGCAAAGCUGCAAAGCCCAGCUAAUCGGAAAAAACCGGCCUCAGUUCGGAUUGGAGUCUGCAACUCGACUCCAUGAAGCUGGAAUCGCUAGUAAUCGCAGAUCAGAACGCUGCGGUGAAUACGUUCCCGGGCCUUGU